RNAcentral lists this ribosomal RNA (253 nucleotides) under uncultured bacterium. RNAcentral's name for it is "partial 16S ribosomal RNA". It matches the Rfam family "Bacterial small subunit ribosomal RNA", at positions 524 to 776 of the family's 1533-position model. The record is from RNAcentral.
UACAGAGGCCUCAAGCGUUGUCCGGAUUCAUUGGGCGUAAAGGGUGCGUAGGUGGCGCCGUAAGUCAGGUGUGAAAUUUCGGAGCUUAACUCCGAAACUGCAUUUGAUACUGCGGUGCUUGAGGACUGGAGAGGAGACUGGAAUUUACGGUGUAGCAGUGAAAUGCGUAGAGAUCGUAAGGAAGACCAGUGGCGAAGGCGGGUCUCUGGACAGUUCCUGACACUGAGGCACGAAGACCAGGGGAGCAAACGGG